CCCUUAGAUGUUCUGGGCUGCACGCGCGCUACACUGAAGCUAUCAACACGUUUUCCCUCCCUGAGAAGGGCGGGUAACCUUUUGAAUCAGCUUCGUGGUAGGGAUCGGGGCUUGCAAUUGUUCCCCGUGAACCAGGAAUUCCUAGUAGACGCGAGUCAUAAGCUCGCAUCGAUUAAGUCCCUGCCCUUUGUACACACCGCCCGUCGCUACUACCAAUUGAACGUUUUAGUGAGGCAUUUGGACCGACGCAUCUCAGUUUAACCGCUGGUUUGUGUUGGAAAGACUUCCAAACUUGAGCGUUUAGAGGAAGUAAAAGUCGUAACA
This 324-nucleotide ribosomal RNA is filed under the name uncultured eukaryote. Its description in RNAcentral is "partial 18S ribosomal RNA". It matches the Rfam family "Eukaryotic small subunit ribosomal RNA", at positions 1470 to 1796 of the family's 1831-position model. The record is from RNAcentral.